UACGGAGGGUGCAAGCGUUGUCCGGAAUCAUUGGGCGUAAAGAGCUCGUAGGCGGCUCAGUAAGUCGGGUGUGAAACCUCCAGGCUCAACCUGGAGACGCCACCCGAUACUGCUGUGGCUAGAGUCCAGUAGGGGAGUGUGGAAUUCCCGGUGUAGCGGUGAAAUGCGCAGAUAUCGGGAGGAACACCAGCGGCGAAGGCGGCACUCUGGGCUGGUACUGACGCUGAGGAGCGAAAGCGUGGGGAGCGAACAGG
RNAcentral lists this ribosomal RNA (254 nucleotides) under uncultured bacterium. RNAcentral's name for it is "partial 16S ribosomal RNA". It matches the Rfam family "Bacterial small subunit ribosomal RNA", at positions 524 to 776 of the family's 1533-position model. The record is from RNAcentral.